UCACACAGUCCAAGGCAUUGUGGUUACAUUAUAUGCUUUAGACAAGCAGGAAAACCAGUGAACUGUUAUAUAAAGGUUGUUUUUUCACCCAUCUGUUUACCAACUACAUUUCAGUUCCAUCAGUUACUCAGCCUUUGUCUUUGUCUUUGUCUUUCUGCCACAGCACCUCCGGAAGCAGAAACUGCAGGUCUUAAUGAAGAUGAAUAUCAAGAACAGUAUGAUAGCAAGGAGGAAGGCCACAACAUCCAGGCUGUGAUACUCGUACCAGCUUUCAGAGGAGUCUGACAACUGAUAGUUAAAGGAAGGACGCUGGUGACCAGGAGGAG
Micropterus salmoides (largemouth bass) is the source of this 326-nucleotide long non-coding RNA. RefSeq lists it as uncharacterized. Lineage: Eukaryota; Metazoa; Chordata; Actinopteri; Centrarchiformes; Centrarchidae. The transcript has 3 exons. The record is from RefSeq and is a predicted model, not a curated record.